Molecule: ribosomal RNA, 468 nt
Filed under: uncultured bacterium
Lineage: Bacteria
Description: partial 16S ribosomal RNA
Rfam family: Bacterial small subunit ribosomal RNA
Source: RNAcentral
GACGAACGCUGGCGGCGUGCUUAACACAUGCAAGUCGAACGGAAAGGCCCUGCUUUUGUGGGGUGCUCGAGUGGCGAACGGGUGAGUAACACGUGAGUAACCUGCCCUUGUUUUUGGGAUAACUUCAGGAAACUGGGGCUAAUACCGGAUAGGAGCUCCUGCUGCAUGGUGGGGGGUGGAAAGGUUCCGCGGUGGGGGAUGGAUUCGCGGCUGAUCAGCUUGUUGGUGGGGUAGUGGCUUACCAAGGCUUUGGCGGGUAGCCGGCCUGUGUGGGUGCCCGGCCACAUUGGUCCUGUGAUCCGGCCCCGGCUCCUGCCGGAGCCAGUUGUGGGGAUUGUUGCACAGUGAGAGGUAGUCUGAUGCAGCAACGCCGCGUGCGGGAUGCCGGCCUUCGGGUUGUAACCCGCAUUCGCCUGGGUCGAGGCGUGCGUGGCGGUAAUGGGUACAGAAGCACCGGCUAACUUCGUC